CCAGUCCUGAUGUGAAACCCCCGGCUCACCCGUGGAGGGUCAUCGGAAACUGGAAAACUUGAGUGCAGAAGAGGAAAGUGGAAUUCCAUGUGUAGCGGUGAAAUGCGCAGAGAUAUGGAGGAACACCAGUGGCGAAGGCGACUUUCUGGUCUGUAACUGACGCUGAUGUGCGAAAGCGUGGGGAUCAAACAGGAUUAGAU
This 200-nucleotide ribosomal RNA is filed under the name Staphylococcus sp. RNAcentral describes it as "partial 16S ribosomal RNA". It matches the Rfam family "Bacterial small subunit ribosomal RNA", at positions 584 to 783 of the family's 1533-position model. Lineage: Bacteria; Bacillati; Bacillota; Bacilli; Caryophanales; Staphylococcaceae. The record is from RNAcentral.